RNAcentral lists this ribosomal RNA (500 nucleotides) under uncultured bacterium. Its description in RNAcentral is "partial 16S ribosomal RNA". It matches the Rfam family "Bacterial small subunit ribosomal RNA", at positions 30 to 523 of the family's 1533-position model. The record is from RNAcentral.
AUUGAACGCUGGCGGAAUGCUUUACACAUGCAAGUCGAACGGCAGCACGGACUUCGGUCUGGUGGCGAGUGGCGAACGGGUGAGUAAUGUAUCGGAACGUGCCCAGUCGUGGGGGAUCACGUAGUGAAAAUUACGCUAAUACCGCAUACGAUCUAUGGAUGAAAGCGGGGGAUCGCAAGACCUCGCGCGAGUGGAGGGGCAGAUAUAGGAGUAGGUAGUUGGUGGGGUAAAGGCCCACCAAGCCAACGAUCUGUAGCUGGUCUGAGAGGACGACCAGCCACACUGGAACUGAGACACGGUCCAGACUCCUACGGGAGGCAGCAGUGGGGAAUUGUGGACAAUGGGCGAAAGCCUGAUCCAGCCAUUCCGCGUGCAGGAUGAAGGCCCUCGGGUUGUAAACUGCUUUUGUACAGAACGAAAAGGUUUCUACUAAUACUAGGAGCUCAUGACGGUAUUGUAAGAAUAAGCACCGGCUAACUACGUGCCAGCCGCCGCGGUAA